GAUUGAUCCUAGGACCAAAUGGGAGUUUGGAUCUGCCCUCAGCCUUUCCCAGCUGUGGGAGAAGCAGAACUUGACAGCACUGUGAUUUGAGCAUCAGAGAAUGAGAUGUGAAGCACCAACUC
This 122-nucleotide long non-coding RNA is filed under the name Dasypus novemcinctus (nine-banded armadillo). RNAcentral's name for it is "lncRNA (ENSDNOG00000052412.1)". The record is from RNAcentral. Lineage: Eukaryota; Metazoa; Chordata; Mammalia; Cingulata; Dasypodidae.